Molecule: long non-coding RNA, 1371 nt
Filed under: Oryctolagus cuniculus (rabbit)
Lineage: Eukaryota; Metazoa; Chordata; Mammalia; Lagomorpha; Leporidae
Description: lncRNA (ENSOCUG00000031940.1)
Source: RNAcentral
AUGCGCUUGCUUUGCUGUAACCACAGCCCACUUUUCUUUCCGUAUCAGAGGAAAGCGCAUGAUCUUGUUUCCAAAGCUGACCUCUUAACUGGGGCCUUCAGUCCCCUCUGCAGCUUCCUCGUUCACAAGGUUCUGUCUCUCCAGGUCUACGCUCCUUUGCACAAACCCUUACACACGGUCUCCUCCACCUGUGCCCUGUGCGCACCACGCUGCCACACUCCCAGUUUCUUUCCCGAUGAAUGCAGGAGCAGUGCCCUGCACUUGACCACACCCCCUCCCCCAUUCCACUUCCCUGUCUCUUCCGGAGCCACAUGCUGCACCCUAGCCUCCACCGCCCCACCGGUCACUCGUGUGUGCCUCCCACAGCCCCAGUUCCGGUUCCUCUGCAGAACUGACCUCUCAGAGGUCACCCACGGCCACCCACGAGCAGAUCUCCCUUCCCCUCUGCCUUGGUCACUCCAUGUACAUGGCAUCCUGACCACCGACACCCCACGGCACUCCAACCGAGGCCCCCAUCACUGCCACCUGCUCCCGGCUGGGCUCUCUUCUGCGUGGCUUCUCACGGAUCCACUUGGUGGAGCCUUCAGGACCAGAGCUUGUUGGAAAUGCAGACUCCCGGGAUCCAGCGAGCCCUGGGGCGGUGCCCGGGGACCUUCCAGCAUGCGAGGUGGUGCUCCCGCCUCGGCUCCUCUCCCUCCACCCCCUGCACGUCCAUCAGGAACACGUGUCUCCACCACCCCCUGCACGUCCAUCAGGAACACGUGUCUCCACCGCGGUGGCUUCCAAUCCUUGCACUUCAACCACAGCUUUCUUCCAAACGUCAUUCUCAGAAGCCAGAUCUUCUCUUGGUUUUCGUUUCCUGGCCUCAGUAGCGCAGACCCAGGGUUCCUGCAACCUGCACCCAGCCAUUCCCCCAGCAGGCCAUGUCAGCACUGCGCUGGAAGCUGCUCGGGCACAGCUCCUGGGGUCACCCUCACCUCUCCCGGAUGCCCCCGGUUCCCCACAUCUGAUCAAACGCCAGCUCCGGGUCUUUGUUCUGCGAGACCCGGGCUCUCUGCUAUCUGGCCCCAGCGGCGGAGCAGACAGAGACCGGGAGGGGCUGAGCUGCUUUCCGGGCCUGCUCCACUACCUGCGACGCUCUCACCACCAAGGCUCCUCCCUAAGGCCUCUGCACACAGGAAGUGCCUGUACUCCCUCACAGGUGCUUGGGACGGAAACGGAAGCACAGGCCAGGCGGCCUCGGGGGCUGGUUUUCACAGCCUCGCCACCCACCCCUGCUCAGGGCCAGUGUUUCACAGCUUCUCGACAAGUUUCCGAUUCCAGCCCUCGAGUGACCCUCCCUGCCUCACUGCUAUCAAACCACGUCACUAA